AUUGAACGCUGGCGGCAGGCUUAACACAUGCAAGUCGAGCGGGGUGAUGGUGCUUGCACUAUCACUUAGCGGCGGACGGGUGAGUAAUGCUUAGGAAUCGGCCUAUUAGUGGGGGACAACAUCUCGAAAGGGAUGCUAAUACCGCAUACGUCCUACGGGAGAAAGCAGGGGAUCACUUGUGACCUUGCGCUAAUAGAUGAGCCUAAGUCGGAUUAGCUAGUUGGUGGGGUAAAGGCCUACCAAGGCGACGAUCUGUAGCGGGUCUGAGAGGAUGAUCCGCCACACUGGGAUUGAGACACGGCCCAGACUCCUACGGGAGGCAGCAGUGGGGAAUAUUGGACAAUGGGGGGAACCCUGAUCCAGCCAUGCCGCGUGUGUGAAGAAGGCCUUAUGGUUGUAAAGCACUUUAAGCGAGGAGGAGGCUCUUUUGGUUAAUACCCAAGAUGAGUGGACGUUACUCGCAGAAUAAGCACCGGCUAACUCUGUGCCAGCCGCCGCUGUAA
Molecule: ribosomal RNA, 503 nt
Filed under: uncultured bacterium
Lineage: Bacteria
Description: partial 16S ribosomal RNA
Rfam family: Bacterial small subunit ribosomal RNA
Source: RNAcentral